RNAcentral lists this unclassified non-coding RNA (262 nucleotides) under Hevea brasiliensis (rubber tree). The record is from RNAcentral. Lineage: Eukaryota; Viridiplantae; Streptophyta; Magnoliopsida; Malpighiales; Euphorbiaceae.
AAGGUGAUGCCACCUAACAAAAAGACUUCCAAAUCUCCAAGGAAAGUUAAGAGGGAGAAUGAAGACUUGGACAAAAUCAUGUUUGGCAAAUCACAUGAGUGGAAGAAUGAGCAGGAUAUGGCUGGGGGGGGGGGGGGUUUUAAUACUCUAAGUCUGAUUGGAAAGGUCAAGAUUUGGGGUUGAACCAGAUUGCAUUUGAUGAGUCGACCAUGCCUGCACCAGUAUGCUCUUGCACUGGAGUGUUUAGGCAGUGCUAUAAAUG